UUUAGAUUUCUGUCUCCGAACCAUUUCGCCUAAAUCUUGAAAUAAAAGAUAUGGGGAAUGGUCGCUAUUAGGGUAUUCUGAGAAAUCAGAAUGCCUCCCGUCAGGAAAGGAGAAAGAUUAAAAAAAAU
Candidatus Schekmanbacteria bacterium is the source of this 128-nucleotide non-coding RNA. Lineage: Bacteria; Candidatus Schekmaniibacteriota. The record is from Rfam.